CAUUGGGACUGAGACACGGCCCAAACUCCUACGGGAGGCAGCAGUAGGGAAUCUUCGGCAAUGGACGAAAGUCUGACCGAGCAACGCCGCGUGAGUGAAGAAGGUUUUCGGAUCGUAAAACUCUGUUGUUAGAGAAGAACAAGGAUGAGAGUAACUGUUCAUCCCUUGACGGUAUCUAACCAGAAAGCCACGGCUAACUACGUGCCAGCAGCCGCGGUAAUACGUAGGUGGCAAGCGUUGUCCGGAUUUAUUGGGCGUAAAGCGAGCGCAGGCGGUUUCUUAAGUCUGAUGUGAAAGCCCCCGGCUCAACCGGGGAGGGUCAUUGGAAACUGGGAGACUUGAGUGCAGAAGAGGAGAGUGGAUUCCAUGUGUAGCGGUGAAAUGCGUAGAUAUAUGGAGGAACACCAGUGGCGAAGGCGGCUCUCUGGUCU
RNAcentral lists this ribosomal RNA (431 nucleotides) under uncultured Bacilli bacterium. Its description in RNAcentral is "bacterial SSU rRNA". It matches the Rfam family "Bacterial small subunit ribosomal RNA", at positions 311 to 735 of the family's 1533-position model. Lineage: Bacteria; Bacillati; Bacillota; Bacilli. The record is from RNAcentral.